Molecule: non-coding RNA, 191 nt
Filed under: Candidatus Stoquefichus
Lineage: Bacteria; Bacillati; Bacillota; Erysipelotrichia; Erysipelotrichales; Erysipelotrichaceae
Description: T-box sequence
Rfam family: T-box leader
About the family: Uncharged tRNA acts as the effector for transcription antitermination of genes in the T-box leader family. T-boxes are found upstream of many aminoacyl-tRNA synthetase genes and some amino acid biosynthetic genes usually in Gram-positive bacteria.
Source: RNAcentral
GUUAAAUCGAUGCGUUGACUAAGUAAAUAUGAAAUCAUCAAAGAGAGCUGAUGGAUGGUGUAAAUCAGCAUGAUGACAUAUUGAAAUCUACCAACAAGAGAAGCUAAUCACUUCCGGAUGAUCCGUUAUCUCAUAUAAAGAUAUCAGAUAGAUAUGAAAUAGGGUGGCACCACGAUAUAUUCGUCCCUUGU